RNAcentral lists this non-coding RNA (396 nucleotides) under Saccharomyces cerevisiae PE-2. The record is from RNAcentral. Lineage: Eukaryota; Fungi; Ascomycota; Saccharomycetes; Saccharomycetales; Saccharomycetaceae.
AGAUAUUUAUAUUAUUAAUAGGAAAGUCAUAAAUAUAUAAAUUAUAUUAUAUAAUUAAUAUAUAAUAAAAUAAAUUAUAUAUUUUAUUUAUAAUAUUAUUUCUUUAUAAGAUAAAUAUUAUCUAAUUAAUAAUUAGAUUGAAUAAUAUUUAUAAAGAAAUAUAUAUAUAUAUAAAAAGUCAUUAUAUAAAUUUAAUUAUAAUUUAAAUAAAUUUUAUAUAAAUUAAUAUAAUAUUAAUAAAGUAAUUAGUAUAAAUAAAUAAUAUGAAAAUAAAACUUAAUAAAUAUAUAAAUAUAGUCCAUAUAUAUAUAUUAAUAAAAAAAAGUAAUAUAUAUAUAUAUAUUGGAAUAGUUAUAUUAUUAUACAGAAAUAUGCUUAAUUAUAAUAUAAUAUCCA